RNAcentral lists this ribosomal RNA (468 nucleotides) under uncultured bacterium. RNAcentral describes it as "partial 16S ribosomal RNA". It matches the Rfam family "Bacterial small subunit ribosomal RNA", at positions 28 to 507 of the family's 1533-position model. The record is from RNAcentral.
GACGAACGCUGGCGGCGUGCUUAACACAUGCAAGUCGAACGGAAAGGCCCUGCUUUUGUGGGGUGCUCGAGUGGCGAACGGGUGAGUAACACGUGAGUAACCUGCCCUUGACUUUGGGAUAACUUCAGGAAACUGGGGCUAAUACCGGAUAGGAGCUCCUGCUGCAUGGUGGGGGUUGGAAAGUUUCGGCGGUUGGGGAUGGACUCGCGGCUUAUCAGCUUGUUGGUGGGGUAGUGGCUUACCAAGGCUUUGACGGGUAGCCGGCCUGAGAGGGUGACCGGCCACAUUGGGACUGAGAUACGGAGCAGACUCCUACGGGAGGCAGCAGGGGGGAAUAUUGCACAAUGGGCGGAAGCCUGAUGCAGCAACGCCGCGGUCGGGAUGACGGCCUUCGGGUUGUAAACCGCUUUCGCCUGUGACGAAGCGUGAGUGACGGUAAUGGGUAAAGAAGCACCGGCUAACUACGUG